Molecule: small RNA, 30 nt
Filed under: Bombyx mori (domestic silkworm)
Lineage: Eukaryota; Metazoa; Arthropoda; Insecta; Lepidoptera; Bombycidae
Description: ovarian small RNA-12687
Source: RNAcentral
AUUCCUACAUGGUAGAGCUACACUGGAGUC